AUUGAACGCUGGCGGCAUGCUUUACACAUGCAAGUCGAACGGUAACAGGGUGCUUGCACCGCUGACGAGUGGCGAACGGGUGAGUAAUGCGUCGGAUCUGCCCGAUAGAGGGGGAUAACCACUGGAAACGGUGGCUAAUACCGCAUAACGUCGCAAGACCAAAGAGGGGGACCUUCGGGCCUCUCACUAUCGGAUGAACCCAGAUGGGAUUAGCUAGUAGGCGGGGUAACGGCCCACCCAGGCGACGAUCCCUAGCUGGUCUGAGAGGAUGACCAGCCACACUGGAACUGAGACACGGGCCAGACUCCUACGGGAGGCAGCAGUGGGGAAUAUUGCACAAUGGGCGCAAGCCUGAUGCAGCCAUGCCGCGUGUAUGAAGAAGGCCUUCGGGUUGUAAAGUACUCUCAGCGGGGAGGAAGGCGAUGUGGUUAAUAACCGCGUCGAUUGACGUUACCCGCAGAAGAAGCACCGGCUAACUCCGUGCCAGCAGCCGCGGUAA
RNAcentral lists this ribosomal RNA (499 nucleotides) under uncultured bacterium. RNAcentral's name for it is "partial 16S ribosomal RNA". It matches the Rfam family "Bacterial small subunit ribosomal RNA", at positions 29 to 523 of the family's 1533-position model. The record is from RNAcentral.